AUAAUGGGUCAGCGACUUAUAUUCUGUAGCAAGGUUAACCGAAUAGGGGAGCCGAAGGGAAACCGAGUCUUAACUGGGCGUUAAGUUGCAGGGUAUAGACCCGAAACCCGGUGAUCUAGCCAUGGGCAGGUUGAAGGUUGGGUAACACUAACUGGAGGACCGAACCGACUAAUGUUGAAAAAUUAGCGGAUGACUUGUGGCUGGGGGUGAAAGGCCAAUCAAACCGGGAGAUAGCUGGUUCUCCCCGAAAGCUAUUUAGGUAGCGCCUCGUGAAUUCAUCUCCGGGGGUAGAGCACUGUUUCGGCAAGGGGGUCAUCCCGACUUACCAACCCGAUGCAAACUGCGAAUACCGGAGAAUGUUAUCACGGGAGACACACGGCGGGUGCUAACGUCCGUCGUGAAGAGGGAAACAACCCAGACCGCCAGCUAAGGUCCCAAAGUCAUGGUUAAGUGGGAAACGAUGUGGGAAGGCCCAGACAGCCAGGAUGUUGGCUUAGAAGCAGCCAUCAUUUAAAGAAAGCGUAAUAGCUCACUGGUCGAGUCGGCCUGCGCGGAAGAUGUAACGGGGCUAAACCAUGCACCGAAGCUGCGGCAGCGACGCUGAUGCGUUGUUGGGUAGGGGAGCGUUCUGUAAGCCUGCGAAGGUGUGCUGUGAGGCAUGCUGGAGGUAUCAGAAGUGCGAAUGCUGACAUAAGUAACGAUAAAGCGGGUGAAAAGCCCGCUCGCCGGAAGACCAAGGGUUCCUGUCCAACGUUAAUCGGGGCAGGGUGAGUCGACCCCUAAGGCGAGGCCGAAAGGCGUAGUCGAUGGGAAACAGGUUAAUAUUCCUGUACUUGGUGUUACUGCGAAGGGGGGACGGAGAAGGCUAUGUUGGCCGGGCGACGGUUGUCCCGGUUUAAGCGUGUAGGCUGGUUUUCCAGGCAAAUCCGGAAAAUCAAGGCUGAGGCGUGAUGACGAGGCACUACGGUGCUGAAGCAACAAAUGCCCUGCUUCCAGGAAAAGCCUCUAAGCAUCAGGUAACAUCAAAUCGUACCCCAAACCGACACAGGUGGUCAGGUAGAGAAUACCAAGGCGCUUGAGAGAACUCGGGUGAAGGAACUAGGCAAAAUGGUGCCGUAACU
This 1121-nucleotide ribosomal RNA is filed under the name Escherichia coli. Its description in RNAcentral is "partial 23S ribosomal RNA". It matches the Rfam family "Bacterial large subunit ribosomal RNA", at positions 612 to 1735 of the family's 2925-position model. The record is from RNAcentral. Lineage: Bacteria; Pseudomonadati; Pseudomonadota; Gammaproteobacteria; Enterobacterales; Enterobacteriaceae.